AUACGGAGGAUCCGAGCGUUAUCCGGAUUUAUUGGGUUUAAAGGGUGCGCAGGCGGCCAUUUAAGUCAGCGGUUAAAUCGCGGGGCUCAACCCCAUUCUGCCGUUGAUACUGGGUGGCUUGAUUGCGGUCGAGGUUGGCGGAAUUCGUUGUGUAGCGGUGAAAUGCAUAGAUAUGACGAAGAACACCGAUUGCGUAGGCAGCUGACCAGACCGCAAAUGACGCUCAUGCACGAAAGUGCGGGGAUCGAACAGGAUUAGAUACCCUGGUAGUCCGCACAGUAAACGAUGAAUACUUGUUUUCGGCGAUAUAAUGUCGGAGGCAAAGCGAAAGCGAUAAGUAUUCCACCUGGGGAGCACGCCGGCAACGGUGAAACUCAAAUGAAUUGACGGGG
This 392-nucleotide ribosomal RNA is filed under the name uncultured bacterium. RNAcentral's name for it is "partial 16S ribosomal RNA". It matches the Rfam family "Bacterial small subunit ribosomal RNA", at positions 523 to 918 of the family's 1533-position model. The record is from RNAcentral.